AUGACCUGAGCUGAAGGCAGAGGCUUAACUCACUGAGCCACCCAGGCGCCCCUCGAAUAGUACUUUUGCUACUAAAGUUAAUGUGUUUACUCUUUCCUUUUCACUUUUAAUUAAAAGUGAGCUAAUUCUCCCAGCUAUUUUUGAUUGAUUAACAGGAAAUCUUAAAUUCAAACUGUUAAAGAACAGUUUGAUUUUUUUGUGGCUAUCCUUAAGGAUGGGACACAUCUUGUUUUAUUGACUUUCUUUCAGUAUCCUAGAUGAUGUUUGUUUUUUGUUUUGUUGAUCCAAGUUUUAUAAUAGCACAAAUCUAAAUUACAGAGUAGCUAGAAAAGUUUAUAAAUGCUUGUAGAUUGACAAGUGCCACCCCAGGAUGAAUUACUUGUCACCUUUUUUUUCUGUGUUGUGAAAAACAACCCAUAGUGCAGGUUUUUCAUGAAUGGUGACUGCUGCUUAGCUUACUACUACUCAGUUAUUUUAUAACAACAGAGCAAAAUCUAUGCUCACUUGAAGAAUGGAAUCAUUAAGCAGUUACACGGGAGGAUUCUGAAAUAGUAAAUUAUGACUGUAAAAAUUUAGGGCUGGUGAAAAAAAUCAACCCUAAGUGAUGAUAAUUUUGUAUAAUGUUAUAUAAAAAGCUCUGAGAACUGUAUGAUAUUAUUUAUUUUCUCCUUUUCUUUAUCUUAUUUUAUUUUGCUUUAAUUUACUUCCUUACUUUGUGGGAGGGAAGAUUGGGUAUGGGGCAAAGAAAUACCAAAACUAACAAUAUGAAACUAACUUUGUUUUUUCCUUUAUACUGUAUAGAAAACAAACUUUCUAAGUGGGCUUCAGAAAGAAGAGUGCUUUUUAAAGUGUUUAAUAUCCCCAGUGUCUUUCCAAUCCCAAGCUAGAGCAGCAUUUAUUCAAAAUGUACAAAACUUCUGAAAGUUUAGUUGCCCUUCUCCCCCAUCUUUAUAGUCUAAUAUUUUCGGGUUUUACUGACUGGGACAAAAGUGUUCUUUCUUUUAACAAACUGGAAUUUUCAGAUGGGUUACCUGUAUUUAAACAUGCUGAACUUUGAUUUUUUUGAGUAUUUUUAAAAUAAUUUGUACAAUUUACACAUGAACCUUGAUUCUGAAUUCAUUCUGUACCUGUCUUAUUUUGUCUAUUACACUGAAAAGUAGUUUUAAUACUUAAUUUUGAAACUAAAAGUUAGAUUUAAGGUUUAUGCUAUCUUUAACUCACAUUUUCUACUUUUCUCCAUAAUUCAACCUUUGAAAAUAACAUAUUUUUUCCAAACAGUUGGCUUGGAUGAUAUUCCAUAAGUGUAAUGAAGAAGUGGUUAAAAACUCAUGGAAAGUCUUUUCCAGUAAAACUUGUAGCUUGUGUCUUGGCUAAAUAUUAUUCAGGGGUUAAUAUGACCCUGUUGUUCAGUAUCUUCUUCCUAAAGAUAACUUUUGUAUUGUAAUUUAUUUUUUAUUGUGCCUUAAACACAUAUGUAAAUAACCUUUAGUAAUAAAGAAUUAUCAGUUAUA
Lutra lutra (Eurasian river otter) is the source of this 1511-nucleotide long non-coding RNA. RefSeq lists it as uncharacterized. NCBI's taxonomy places the organism in Eukaryota, Metazoa, Chordata, Mammalia, Carnivora, Mustelidae. The record is from RefSeq and is a predicted model, not a curated record. The transcript has 2 exons.